GCCCUUACUCCUGCGGGAGGCAGCAGUUAGGGAAUCUUCCACAAUGGACGCAAGUCUGAUGGAGCAACGCCGCGUGAGUGAAGAAGGUUUUCGGAUCGUAAAGCUCUGUUGUUGGUGAAGAAGGAUAGAGGUAGUAACUGGCCUUUAUUUGACGGUAAUCAACCAGAAAGUCACGGCUAACUACGUGCCAGCAGCCGCGGUAAUACGUAGGUGGCAAGCGUUGUCCGGAUUUAUUGGGCGUAAAGCGAGCGCAGGCGGAAGAAUAAGUCUGAUGUGAAAGCCCUCGGCUUAACCGAGGAACUGCAUCGGAAACUGUUUUUCUUGAGUGCAGAAGAGGAGAGUGGAACUCCAUGUGUAGCGGUGGAAUGCGUAGAUAUAUGGAAGAACACCAGUGGCGAAGGCGGCUCUCUGGUCUGCAACUGACGCUGAGGCUCGAAAGCAUGGGUAGUGAACAGGAUUAGAUACCCUGGUAGUCCAUGCCGUAAACGAUGAGUGCUAAGUGUUGGGAGGUUUCCGCCUCUCAGUGCUGCAGCUAACGCAUUAAGCACUCCGCCUGGGGAGUACGACCGCAAGGUUGAAACUCAAAGGAAUUGACGGGGGCCCGCACAAGCGGUGGAGCAUGUGGUUUAAUUCGAAGCAACNCGAAGAACCUUACCAGGUCUUGACAUCUAGUGCCAUUUGUAGAGAUACAAAGUUCCCUUCGGGGACNCUAAGACAGGUGGGUGCAUGGGCUUGUCNUCAGCUCGUGUCNUGAGAUGUUGGGUUAAAUUCCCGCAACCAGCGCCAACCCUUGUUAAUAANUUGCCCNCAUUAAGNUNGGGCCCCUCNUAA
RNAcentral lists this ribosomal RNA (831 nucleotides) under uncultured bacterium. RNAcentral's name for it is "bacterial SSU rRNA". It matches the Rfam family "Bacterial small subunit ribosomal RNA", at positions 329 to 1146 of the family's 1533-position model. The record is from RNAcentral.